Long non-coding RNA from Oncorhynchus tshawytscha (Chinook salmon), 7542 nucleotides. RefSeq lists it as uncharacterized. The transcript is spliced from 3 exons. The record is from RefSeq and is a predicted model, not a curated record. NCBI's taxonomy places the organism in Eukaryota, Metazoa, Chordata, Actinopteri, Salmoniformes, Salmonidae.
AGUCAACUUAUCUCAAGUCUGAAUAGUGAAUGUGGUUAAAUGUAGUAGAGUUAAAAUGGUUAUUCCAUCAAAUUUCAAAUUAUUAGAAUAGUACACAAUGCAGAACAGAACAACCAGGUUGAGGGUCAGUGAACAAAGCCCGCAAACAGGAAUAUUCCAAGUUCAGACAGAAGGGGGGAGUCAGAUCGCUAUGAUCACCAGGAACUUUACUUUUGGUGUCUAUUUUUAAUUGUUGCGCUACUGGUGCUGCCUGUUGAAGUUAGGUAGGGAACUACAGUAGCUGAAUGAUGUUAACAUCUUCGGGUUUUGUUUCAUUAAAUGUAUUUUAUUUCAUCUGGGUGCUUGCGUCACCUACUAACACCCUGGUACUACCCGUUGCUCCCGUUCUCCUGGAGCCCAAAACACAGAGAGAAAGAACAACUUGUCAGAUGAUGCAUUGGAGACUGAUGUUUUCCUGUCCUGUCUUUUCACAAUACUAUUGCAGAUCAACAUAAAAGCCUAAAAGACAGCCGUGGUGUCGCUCUUCAUUUCUUGGUCAGAGACUGUUACGUUGAUGCUGUUGACACCGGAUCACUGGUUGCUGCGGAAAAAGGAGGAGGUCAAAAGGGGGGUGAAAAAAGAAGCGGAUCAACAGAUCAGCUGCAGCAGAUCGCCGGGGGACCCCUACACAGAACUGGAUCAACAUCACACGUUUAGAACAUUUGAGGGCAAGGUGAACUUUGGACAAUAUGUUGCGUACACCUCAGUUGUAUGAGAUUACAGAACAGGAGAGAGAAGACAUAUCAGGUGUUGGUGAUAACAAUGUACAUGUUACUCCGGUUGGUGUUACUGUGAGAGGUCCACAAGGUAUUGCCACUGGGGUGGGGCGGGGGGCUCAGUUGGCCAGUAUGGUGGAACAUAGUGCUAGAGCCAGUCCUCUUAGAUACCCAGCAGUCGAUACUAGAGUGCCAAGUGUUAUCAGUAGCCAACCAGAGCAUGUUAGCAGUAGCCAAUCAGGUAAGGAUAACAGUGAAGAGUCCCAGAAAGCCUAGUAGGGGGUGAAAAUGAAAACCGAACCCAAUUGCAAGCCAUAGCAGAGUUAGUCAAACAACUGGGCAGUGAAAUAGGAAAUCAAUUGCCGCUAGUCUAGCAGGGGCUGGUGCAAGCACUCCCCCUCCCCAACCAAUAGUUGAAAUACCUGAUUGGUCAAAGGUCAACCUAAUUCUGAAGUCAGACGUCAGAGAACCACCCCACUUCCGGGGUGAUCGCACAGACCGGUGCACAGUGACUGAAUGGCAAGAACUUAUGCAAGCUUACUUGAAAAAGAAGGGAUGCAGUAUAUCAGAACAGGGGCAAGAGAUACAGGAUAGACAUUUGGGGCGGGCUAAAGACAUAGUCAGAAUUGGGCUCCGUGGAAACCCUCUCGUUAACAUAAGCAGAGACCCUGAAGCCAUAUACAAUAUCUUGAGGCAGCACUUUGGAGAAGCAAUCUCAUCCACAAUUGCAUUAGGAUACUUCUAUGAAACCUUUCCAAGACAGUCGGAGAGCUGCUUGGAUUAUUGGGUUAGACUGAACAAAGCAAUUGACCUUGCCAAUGAAUGCUUGCAAAGACAGGGAAAAAGAGUGGAUGAUCCAGGUCAUGAGGUGACCAUGAUGUUUGUUAAGCACUGCCCUGAUCCAGCACUGCAUGCCACUCUUAGGUGCAUGCCUAUUGAAAAUUGGACCGUUGGGAGAUUUGCAGGCAAUGAUUGACAGCCAUCACAGAGACAAACAGUCAGCCAGACACAGGGCGCAAAGUACUGCCAAGGUAGAAGUUGUGAUGACCCCCAAUGCUUGAUGUAUGACUCAACCAGAAGCAGUCGGUCAAGAUAAUUCAGCCACGCCCACUAACAGUGAUCAGGCUCCAUUGAACAAAGUGAUUUCUCUCCUGGAAAAGCUCCUGUCAACCCAGGAACAGAAUCAAAGGAGAACUUCGGCCAGAACGCCACAAACUAAUACAGCUGCUGGUCCCUGUAGAAUUUGUAAGGCCUCAGACCAUUCAACUCAGUCACACUGCCUUAAGGAGGGCUUAUGCUUCAAGUGUCACAGGACAGGCCACAGAGGCUUUGAAUGUCCAGCAAGAAAACAAGUUGGAGAGGCAACUGCCGAGGCUCCCCCUGGGCCCGCUAAACUAACAUGCUCACUCCAAGAGGGGGGCAGUGUGGGCGAACAUGUUACACCCCCGCAGAACAUCACGGAUAUAAGGACUGGAAACACAAUGAAAACCGAGGCGAUUUAUCCGAAAAUAGAGAGUAUUGACAGUCUUUUCUAUGAUCCAGUAAUGGUGCAAGAAAUUGUAGAACUUCAAGCUCUGAUAGAUAGUGGGUCUAUGACCUGUUCGUUGAGUGAGUCAGCUGAAGACACACUUCUGAGAUGUAAUGUAAUGAGUCUAGAAAGCCAACUCAAGUAGUUCUUGUAGGCUGCGGGGGCAACCAGGCACAGCCUAAGUAUGAAUAUGACUUGAACAUUGAUCUUUUAGAUUGCAAGAUGGCAGUGUCUGUUUUAGUUGUACCUGGACAGACAGACAAUAUGAUAGUUGGAUCGAACGCCAUAAAACACAUAAUGCAACGGGUUAAGAAAACAAAGUGGUAUUGGGACAGCCUCUCCAAACCUGCCAAAGGAGAUUCACAUGGACUUUUACUCAGCAUGCUAGCCAACGUGAACCGCUGGCACGGUGACAAAAUACCAGACAAAGUGGGAACUGUAAUGCUCAAGCAGAGUGUGACUCUCAUGUCUCAACAUGAACAUUUGGUCUGGGGAAAACUGAAAGAAAAGGUGCCGCUAUCAGUUGCUAGUACUGUAGUCAUAGAGGCCACUACAGCACGAUCUGCACCAAGAAGUGUACUAGUAGGACGCACUGUAUGUCCUUUGAGGGGUGACAAGUGGGUCCCCAUGAAAGGGAUCAACAUGUUGGACCACCCUAUUGUUCUCCAAGUUGGCUGAUGUUCACCCAUGCCUAGCCCUAGAAGACCUAGAGCUCUAUUCCAGCCAUGCUGAGAACCCCAGUAAGGUCCAGUCUGCUCUUCAGAAUGUCACCCAAGCUGGGAAAGAAUGUUCAGUUAGUGGAAAAGGGACAAAGGAGUAUCUACAAAAGUUGGAAGAGUUGGGCUUAACAGAAGAUGACAGAGUCCUGUGAAGUGUCUGAUAUGUGGAAAGGAAAACUAGUGGGCCUUAUUGCUCAGUAUGAAGGCAUCUUCUCCAGGGACCGACUUGACUGUGGAGAAGCAAAGAACGUCAUCCACCGUAUCCGACUCAAAGAUGAAAAGCCUUUCAGCCUGCCGUACAGGAGGGUCUCUCCAUCCGACUACCAGAAACUGAAGCAGACGUUGGAGGUAAUGGAGGAGUGGGGAAUCAUCCGAAAGUCCAGUAGUGAGUGGGCCUCCCCCUUGUCCUGGUUUGGAAGUGAUUUCAGAUGGUUGAACCAAAGGACACCGUAAAGAUGCAUACCCAUUGCCCCAUCAAGCCGAUGCUCUCGCUGAUUUUGGAGGGAACUGCUUCUUCAGUACUAUGGAUUUGACUUCGGGAUUCUACAACAUCCCCAUACAUGAAGCUGACCGCAAUUACACAGCGUGCACAACACCCACAGGUUCAUUUGAGUACAACAGAAUGGCUCAGGGGUUAUGUAACAGCCCAGCAACAUUCGCCAGAAUGAUGACCUCGAUCUUCGGCGAUCAGAACUACUUGUCCCUCCUGUGCUACUUGGAUGAUCUCCUGGUUUUCGGGAAGAGUGAGCAGGAAGCCCUGGACCGUCUUGAAAUGGUGUUCUCCCGCCUUAAGGAACACAACCUGAAGCUAGCUCAAAAAAAAUGUUACCUCAGAAAAUCUGUCAAGGUUUUAGGCCAUUUUCCAUCAGGUCAGCUGCUGUGAUGUCGUUGAUUGCAGACACUUUUCCUGGGUCGGUUGCAAUGCCCUCUGCCGUGACGAUAUGGCCUAAAAACUUGACAGAUUUUCAGAGGAGGUAACAUUUUUUUUGAGCUAGCUUCAGGUUCUGCCUGUUUAUUGCAAUCCACCACAUGAGUGCACAAAAACUCAGUAGGGUAGUUAUUGGUUUUGUAACACCAUUGCUUAAAAACCUAAGCCCUCCAGUUUGGUUCUAGUCUUCAGAGGAUUGUUAUAAUUGAGUUUCUCAUAAUUACUAAGGAGCUAAUGCAUCUUAAAUGGCCUCUAAAUCAAGGGUAAAUAUUAUUUUGGACACCUUCCACCUAUACUGAUUGUGUGCUUUGGGCUUGAAGGAGCUCCCUUAUUACUAUGUAUAAGAGAUUGGUAUUUGUGUGUGAGUGUGUGUGUGUGUGUGUGUUACCAUGUUUGUUUUACCGUGUAUGUGUUUAUUAGUGUUCUUGUUUCAGUGCACAUGUCUACUGUUGAUGUGUGUUGUUGGCAAGAGCGAAACCGACAGAGAAAACCAGACAGCUACUUGCAAGAGAAUAAAGGAUGAAUAAAACAAGAGACAAAGAAGGAGGAGAAAUGACAUAUCCCGUGAGAUCGCUCCCCCUCCCUCUCUCUCUCCCUUCCUCCCUCCCAAUUUGUCUCUCCCUCCUUCGCUUUCUACUGUACAUUGAAUCCUUCCCUCCUUCACUCCCAUCCCAAGUCUGUCCAGGACUACCGCUCUAAUCCGGGAGUAUGCCAAGGGGAACAACCAGGCCUGCUGGUCUGCUUUUAUUCUCCAUAUUACAACCGGGCCUGCUGGCCUACUCUGCCUACUCAGAAGCCAUGAGCGUGCUGGGAAACAUAGGCUUUCCACCUGGCAUACAGGUUGACACUCUUCUCCUUCUCUCCCAACACAUGAAUGAAUUGGAGGCUGAUUUGCCCCGAGGAGAAACAGUGAGGAGACAGCAAGUUUGUGUUGCAAAUGGCACCCUAUUCCCUAUGUAGUGCACUACAUUUGACCAGGGCCCAUAGGACUUGGUCAAAAGUAGUGUAUUACAUAGGGAAUAGGGUGCCAUUUGUGACAAAGUUCCCAGUAUAUCUCCAGGGGCGACUCCCUGUAUGCUCUCCCACAUGAAAGAUACAAACUCUGUAUGUGUACGUGCACAUGAACAACUACAUAUACCACGUUGCAGGUGUACCAUAGCCACAACCCAUAGCCAGUUGCAAUAAGCUAACAGAGAGCUUUACCUAGAUCCACAGAUGCCAAACAGUCUUCCUCCCCUUGGCCAGCUAAACAAUAUUUUUUUUGUCAUUUUUAUCUCUUGCUAAUUAAUCCCCUACUUAUUGAAAGAAGUCAGAGUAGGAUUACCCCAUGUAAACAGGAAGUGAGUUGGACUAGAACAGCUGGGUCCAUUUUAGCAGGUCCUCUUCUCCUCACUCCUCCUCCCCCUAUCCUCUCCUACUAUGUGAAACGCAACUGCCCGUAUCCGAUGCCCAGGGUCUGGGAGUGACGAGAGCGAUGAGAGUAUCAAGAGCGACGAGAGCGAUAACAGCCUGUGUUAACUGCGUACAAUGUUGGGCGAUGAAACAACGGAAGCCACUAAUUUUCAAUUGAAGAAGCGAAGUGGGCAGGAGACCAUUGGACAAUGCGAGCAUGGGCAAGGGAUCGUGAAAAGGGUGUGAGCUGAACGUUAUGCAAAUACUCAGCAUGAUUGACCAAUCUAAGUUCACUAUAGCUUCCAAACCCUACUUGGCUAUUGAUACCUACCUGUCGGCUUGAUAGCAACAACAUGGUGAGCCACUCUGGACGAAGCAUGGCUAGGCAAUGCAAGAGCCACGAAAGUGAAAAGAGCGAUAAGAGUGACAAGAGCGACGGGAGCAUGAUGCUGUCUUCGUGGCCUUCUCUCUUUGCGCGCUGUCAUGUCUUCUUAUUCAUUUGGAUUCGAAGCCCCCUCUCUCUCUUGCCUGUUGUGAAAUUGCUCUCUGGAGACAAGGGUCUCCGAGAUUAAAUCAGGUGUUGUUCUAUUUUUCCUGUCAAGCUGCUUUAGAUUGUAGAAUUCGCCCGGCGGAGGGAUUGCAUUGACUCAAGCAGAGAUCUCUGUUGAUGUGCCAGGUUUGACAAAUAGCCUUUGGUCAAGAGGCAACAGCAGUGUAUUAUAUGAGUUUGUUUCAAACAGUAAGAAGUUUAUUUUGUUACUUUCAUUGUUUUGUUUGUCACCUAUGCUCUCUAUCGCCCACACCUCUGUUUAUUGAGAAUAACAAUUGUAUGUUCGUGUGUUUAUGUGUUAUUAUUAUUAUUACUACUGCUACACGCUAUUGGUGUAUGCUGAGCCCAACUGACAGCCAUGCAACACGGUCAAGCAUCUUGUGUAUGUGUGGGGUGAGUGAAGGGGUGUGAGUGUGUGGUGGGUUUUGUGUGUGUGUGUGUGUGUGUGCGCGCGGCCAAGACAUUAUACAAACACACAUACACACCACUAUUCUAGCCACAACAAGCUGUCAGAGCCCUUACGUCUCUCUGCAGUCUCUUUUAAUUAGAUCUUAAUUGCCUGAUUAACUCUGUCCAUCGAUGAGAGAGGGGAGACAGAGAGGGAGAGCAAAAACAGCUGAGGAAUCGAGAGAGCGAGGCGGAGCGAUGGAGGAUGUAUAGAGACAUACGUACAUAGACAAUUCAACUUCAAAGAGUGGGUCAGUUCCAAAAGGAGUGAGAAGUCUAGGGCCAUAAUAAAGCAUAACGCGGUUAAAGAUAUGACCGCUGUUUCCAUGAUGGAUACCCUGGAAUUCCAUCCAUGUUAACCUCUGACCCCUAGCCUCAGGAUGCCAUUUUGGUUGUACAGUACAUGAUGAAACACAUCAUUACUCAGUUGUUUUUGCUCUGGCCUCAAUUGUAGUAUUACACACACACACACUAAACCCCCCCACACACUCACACCCCUCCACUCACCCCACACACACACAAGAUGUUUGACCCUGUUGCUUAACUGUCAGUUGGGCUCAACGUACACCAAUAGUGUGUAGUAGUAGUAAUAAUAAUAAAAUUGGUUGGUUGGUGUUUAUAUUUGUCCUGUUAGUUAUUUAGCAAAUUCCAACUCCCCCUGACACACCCUCAGAGAGUGGGGUCACAGCCAGGGUCAGCCAUUAUCAACGGCGACCCUGGAGCAAUUAGGGUUAAGUGCCUUGCUCAAGGGUACAUCAACUGAUUUGUCAGCCUUGUCAGCUCUGGGAUUCAAACUAGCAACCGUUGUUGUUACUGGCCCAAUACUCUAACCGCUAGGCUACAUUCCACCCUAUUCAUGCAGUUCCCUGUGUGAAUGUGAAUGUGAGCCAACAGAUCCAGCUGUGCCAUCCAGCCAUGAGAGACCAAGUAAUCCCCACUUUAUUUUGAUCUCUCUUUUGAACGUUUUCAAUGAAAGGCCUUCAAAAGAAGACAUCUAAUUGAUAGAUGCUACUAAGUGCAGGCCUAGAGCAUAGGUCUCUGUUUUCUUAGUGUUUUGUCAGUACAGGUAAGAUAUAUUUUCUUAUUUAAAAUGUAUUAAGUUCUGUCCUUGAGAUGUUCUUGUCUGUUAAUAUUGUAUAUUAGGUCAUGUUUUAUGUUUUGCGUGGACCCCAGGAAGAGUAGCUGCUGCAAUAGCAACAGCUAAUGUGGAUCUGAAUAAAAUA